UUACACGUCUCCUGCAGGCACUUUGCAAC
This 29-nucleotide non-coding RNA is filed under the name Mus musculus (house mouse). The record is from RNAcentral. Lineage: Eukaryota; Metazoa; Chordata; Mammalia; Rodentia; Muridae.